Molecule: ribosomal RNA, 465 nt
Filed under: Vreelandella stevensii
Lineage: Bacteria; Pseudomonadati; Pseudomonadota; Gammaproteobacteria; Oceanospirillales; Halomonadaceae
Description: partial 16S ribosomal RNA
Rfam family: Bacterial small subunit ribosomal RNA
Source: RNAcentral
CCUACGGGUGGCAGCAGUGGGGAAUAUUGGACAAUGGGGGCAACCCUGAUCCAGCCAUGCCGCGUGUGUGAAGAAGGCCCUCGGGUUGUAAAGCACUUUCAGUGAGGAAGAACGCCUGGUGGUUAAUACCCAUCAGGAAAGACAUCACUCACAGAAGAAGCACCGGCUAACUCCGUGCCAGCAGCCGCGGUAAUACGGAGGGUGCGAGCGUUAAUCGGAAUUACUGGGCGUAAAGCGCGCGUAGGCGGCUUGAUAAGCCGGUUGUGAAAGCCCCGGGCUCAACCUGGGAACGGCAUCCGGAACUGUCAAGCUAGAGUGCAGGAGAGGAAGGUAGAAUUCCCGGUGUAGCGGUGAAAUGCGUAGAGAUCGGGAGGAAUACCAGUGGCGAAGGCGGCCUUCUGGACUGACACUGACACUGAGGUGCGAAAGCGUGGGUAGCAAACAGGAUUAGAUACCCCUGUAGUC